RNAcentral lists this long non-coding RNA (251 nucleotides) under Amborella trichopoda. RNAcentral describes it as "long non-coding RNA (ATRI_LNC004110)". The record is from RNAcentral. Lineage: Eukaryota; Viridiplantae; Streptophyta; Magnoliopsida; Amborellales; Amborellaceae.
UCAGAUUGAUCACUGAACAAUUUGUUGAAAAUUUGUUUUUUAGUACCAUGAAAAAAGGUAUCGUCUUUCGAUUGAUAAAUUUCUAUUGGAAAUGCAAUUUCAUGUGUAGUCUUGAAAAAGAGAAAAGAAGUUAGUAAAACUUGGUCCCCAUGAUCGGAAUAGGUACAUAGAAUAUGAUGCCAUAAUAGGGAAUCUUCUAUGAAAAUGAAAGCAUUUAGAUGUGUGCUGAAAAUUCUGUGGAAAACUCUAAU